GCGGAGGAAAAGAAACUAACAAGGAUUCCCCUAGUAGCGGCGAGCGAAGCGGGAAGAGCUCAAAUUUAUAAUCUGGCACCUUCGGUGUCCGAGUUGUAAUCUCUAGAAAUGUUUUCCGCGUUGGACCGCACACAAGUCUGUUGGAAUACAGCGGCAUAGUGGUGAGACCCCCGUAUAUGGUGCGGACGCCCAGCGCUUUGUGAUACAUUUUCGAAGAGUCGAGUUGUUUGGGAAUGCAGCUCAAAUUGGGUGGUAAAUUCCAUCUAAAGCUAAAUAUUGGCGAGAGACCGAUAGCGAACAAGUACCGUGAGGGAAAGAUGAAAAGCACUUUGGAAAGAGAGUUAACAGUACGUGAAAUUGUUGGAAGGGAAACGCUUGAAGUCAGACUUGCUUGCCGAGCAAUCGGUUUGCAGGCCAGCAUCAGUUUUCCGGGAUGGAUAAUGGUAAAGAGAAGGUAGCAGUUUCGGCUGUGUUAUAGCUCUCUACUGGAUACAUCCUGGGGGACUGAGGAACGCAGUGUGCCUUUGGCGGGGGUUUCGACCUCUUCACACUUAGGAUGCUGGUGGAAUGGCUUUAAACGACCCGUCUU
Molecule: ribosomal RNA, 589 nt
Filed under: Rhodotorula sp.
Lineage: Eukaryota; Fungi; Basidiomycota; Microbotryomycetes; Sporidiobolales; Sporidiobolaceae
Description: LSU rRNA
Rfam family: Eukaryotic large subunit ribosomal RNA
Source: RNAcentral